UUACACUCUUUGAUUGACACAGAGAGAGAAAGAAAGAAAAAUUGAGGGCUGCUAGGUAUUAUUUAUAUACACGUCCACUACACACGAGAAGGAAGGCAGCUGUAGGUUAAUUUAUUUAUGGUGAAAUUGAGGCAGCUUUGGGGGACAAUAAAUACAAUUACACGCAUAGAAACCAAGACGGAAAUUGGAUUCCAAACAUUAAUUAGGCUGCUUGCUACUGUUCAUUAAAUAUACACACACAAAAGCCGGUGUUGAUGAUAGAUUGAAUUGGCAGUAGCUUUGAGGGAACGAUAGUGGACGGUUGGAGAGAAAUUGAAAACUAAUUACAUUCCGUCAAUUAAUCCAGUGAUGUCUUCCAUAAUCCCUUAUUUUUCCUCUUUUAAUAUGCGUAGCUAAAUUUAAUUUUAGAGCGAACAAUGUAACUAAUUUGGGAC
RNAcentral lists this long non-coding RNA (434 nucleotides) under Olea europaea (common olive). RNAcentral's name for it is "long non-coding RNA (OEUR_LNC005416)". The record is from RNAcentral. Lineage: Eukaryota; Viridiplantae; Streptophyta; Magnoliopsida; Lamiales; Oleaceae.